This 299-nucleotide long non-coding RNA is filed under the name Cicer arietinum (chickpea). Its description in RNAcentral is "long non-coding RNA (CARI_LNC002582)". The record is from RNAcentral. Lineage: Eukaryota; Viridiplantae; Streptophyta; Magnoliopsida; Fabales; Fabaceae.
AGGAGUGAAGAGGGAACGGAGGUGGUGAGGUUGGAGGAGAUGAGAAGUGUAACGUUGAAGUUUAUGGAAGUUAAGUGAUUGCAUAGUUGGAAACAUGGUAAAAGAUGGCCUUGUCCAAAAAAUGGUACUAUGCAAAUUUCUUGAGACAUUAAUUACUUUGGUUUUUGAGUGUAUGAAUGAAUAUGUUGUUGUGUGUUUUAUAGGAAGCAAGAAGAAGACCAUUUGAUUUUGACUGUUAGGUUGGACUUAAAAGAAUAGUAGACAGUGUGGGGUCAGGUCACGGAAAACGGCCCCACCGG